Molecule: long non-coding RNA, 470 nt
Filed under: Capsicum annuum
Lineage: Eukaryota; Viridiplantae; Streptophyta; Magnoliopsida; Solanales; Solanaceae
Description: long non-coding RNA (CANN_LNC004494)
Source: RNAcentral
UUUACAUUAAAGCAACAAGUUCAGGCAUAGUUCAAAGAGCAGAUAUGGAGGAUAAUAAAGAGCAUAGUAAAGAGAAUUUAACAGUAUGUCUGGAAGAAGACAUUACAUCUGUGCUAACAACAACUAGAAUUAAAACACUAGCAACCAAAAAUCUUUACCAAAAAGAAGGGGUAGGGAUUUGUUCAAGCAUCUUCAACCAUCUGAUAAUGAAUCAGGGAUUUUCAGCUCAAAACCUGAUUGAACUGGAAGUAGUCUGUCCAUCUGAGUACCCAAUAUUACCUAACAAUAAAAAGAAAAUAUUAGAUUUGGAAGGACAAAUGAGGAAAGUGCAUGUGAAGAUGACAUCACCUGAGAGUGGUGAAGCUGACAGAAUGAGCUCAUCUAAGAUCCACCAUGGAUUUAGCUAGAAUAGAACCCAGAGUAGGAGAAAUUGGAGAUUGGAAUUCCAUCGGCAGCACUUAGGAGGAAUG